UACGAAGGGGGCUAGCGUUGCUCGGAAUUACUGGGCGUAAAGGGCGCGUAGGCGGCACUGUUAGUCAGGCGUGAAAGUCCUGGGCUCAACCUGGGAACUGCGCUUGUUACUGGCAGGCUGGAGUGUGGCAGAGGGGGGUGGAAUUCCACGUGUAGCAGUGAAAUGCGUAGAGAUGUGGAGGAACACCGAUGGCGAAGGCAGCCCCCUGGGCUAACACUGACGCUCAUGCACGAAAGCGUGGGGAGCAAACAGG
RNAcentral lists this ribosomal RNA (253 nucleotides) under uncultured bacterium. RNAcentral describes it as "partial 16S ribosomal RNA". It matches the Rfam family "Bacterial small subunit ribosomal RNA", at positions 524 to 776 of the family's 1533-position model. The record is from RNAcentral.